ACUGCAGGUACUGCUACAAACAGCGUCUUUCAUUGAUGUGAGGGCACUUCAACAAUUUUGAGGUUGGGAUGUUUUUCUCAAAGGACAGGAAAAAAGACACUGACAGAGAAGAAAAUAGCCCCUCCAAGAGUCCAAAAACACAGCAGUCUGUGGAUCAUUCUACUUCAGUGGCUACACAAAGCCUGCCAGAACAGUGAUCUCCAAUCCUGGUGCCUGACCUCUAUUGUAAUGGAAACACAACCAAAACCAUGUAGGAUCGAGCCGCGCUGAGGCGAGGUCUUAGAUGUCAGGACAGGCCAUCCAAAUUGAGACUGAUGAGCAGCUGUAGAUCAGAGGUUGGUGGAAGGAGCCCUCCAGCUGAUUUCAGAUCCAUCUAGUGAGGUUGCACAGCCUCAUCUCACCAGCAGAGAAUCGCAGCAGCUACAGUAGGGGGAAAUAUGUCUUAUAGUUAAAAGAAGGGAGCCGCACCCUCCAAAAUAGGAAAUAAGUUCAUGGCACUGUCCACCUGCCACCGACAGAGACAGGGAAUAGAGAUAACCUGCAUCAUGCAUCAGAACAAAUUAGGGGAACACAAUCUAAAAUAAUACCCGACAAGUGUCAAUGUGAAUCAUCCAGUAUUUCCAGUAUAAAACAUACACACUGUUUGUUUGUGUGCACAUGACACAAGCACAAAGAAUCCACAAGCGGGAAACACCUCAGAAGAGAGCAGUUAUGUACCAUACAAAUGUGGUUGAGCACAAGCUUGGAGCUGCUCAAAAUUCACUUGCUCAGUGUGUUGACAUCUGAAGGAUGAGACAGUAGCUGCCAUCCCUGCUCUUUUGAUUUACUGAACAUGACUUCUGAUUGGUCAUUAGGUUUGAUCGCUGACGAGCAAAACAUCUUGUUCCACACUACAGACAUCCAGUCCAGUCUGCCACAACAGUACGACAUGGAACAUCAAAACAUCCAUCCAUCUGUGCAUCCCCGUAACAGGCAUACAGUUCUCACCAAGCAGGGAGACCUCAGCAUCAACACGUGUACCUGUCUAUUGUCACUAUACAUUUAAAUCAAAUCAAAUGUUUUUACUGAUAACUCUAUAUAUUAUGACAAGUAUGUGGCUUUAAAGUUGUGGCUUAUCUUUGAAUAACCAUGGCUUGUUUUUUUUAAAUUGUAUUUUGGUUUUAUACAAUUGUAUUUUGUAGGUUCAGUUAUUCUCCAUAUCUUUAUGACUCGAUUAAGUAAAAAUAAACUGAUCUGCCACAUGAGGAAAGCCAGUUAUCAUUAGAAAGUGUGGGACCAUUUGUAAUACCACCACCAACAAAACAACAAUAAUAGAAAUUGUAAUAAUCAAGAAAAAAAAAAGCUCAGAAAGUCUAGAAACGAAGAGAAGCGUAAUAUCUAGAAACUAAUUUGGGAAACCUGAACAGGCUGACCAGACGAUAAGCUAUAUUUGCGUCUAAUAUGUCCAGGCCUAUGCUGCCAUGGCAUCAGAAGCAGUGAUAUAUUUAGCUAAUGAAGAAGGAGAUAUAGAAAAGGAG
Long non-coding RNA from Solea solea (common sole), 1517 nucleotides. RefSeq lists it as uncharacterized. NCBI's taxonomy places the organism in Eukaryota, Metazoa, Chordata, Actinopteri, Pleuronectiformes, Soleidae. The transcript is spliced from 3 exons. The record is from RefSeq and is a predicted model, not a curated record.